GUGGCCGUGACCACCCCCCAAGGAGAGAGAAAGGUGGUUGCCGCAACCACCAACCAAGGAGUGAAAGGGGGAGCGGCCGUGCCCACUCCCAAAGGUGAGAGGGGAGUGGCCGUGCCCACUCCCAACGGAAAGCAAGGGGGAAAGGCCGUGUCCGAUCCCCCAGGGGAAAGCAAGGGUGUAGCUGUGUCUACACCCCAGCUAGAGAGAGGAAAGGGAACAGCCGUG
This is a long non-coding RNA of Haliotis rubra (blacklip abalone), 225 nucleotides long. RefSeq lists it as uncharacterized. NCBI's taxonomy places the organism in Eukaryota, Metazoa, Mollusca, Gastropoda, Lepetellida, Haliotidae. The record is from RefSeq and is a predicted model, not a curated record. The transcript is spliced from 3 exons.